RNAcentral lists this unclassified non-coding RNA (304 nucleotides) under uncultured Rhizophagus. Its description in RNAcentral is "sequence contains ITS2". Lineage: Eukaryota; Fungi; Glomeromycota; Glomeromycetes; Glomerales; Glomeraceae. The record is from RNAcentral.
AACGCAAAUUGCACUCUCUGGCAACCCGGGGAGUAUGCCUGUUUGAGGGUCAGUGUUAAUAAAAAUCGGUGCGUCGCAAUUUUUUUUGUGAUGUUUCCGGAGUUUGAGUUAUCUUAAACUCUUCUGGAUUUUUAAGAGGCUUAAAAUUGACCUUUUUUGUGCAUUUUAGACGUACAUAAAUUUUUUUUUAUUCGUCUAUCUUAAUGCCAAAAUCUAUUAGAUGCGACCAUAUCAUGUUGGUUUUGUGUCUAUAAAUUUUUCAUGAUUUGACCUCAAAUCAGGUAGGAACACCCGCUGAACUUAA